CAGAUUGAACGCUGGCGGCAUGCUUUACACAUGCAAGUCGAACGGUAACAGGGAGCUUGCUCCGCUGACGAGUGGCGAACGGGUGAGUAAUGCGUCGGAACGUGCCGAGUAGUGGGGGAUAACUAUCCGAAAGGAUAGCUAAUACCGCAUACGCUUUGAGAAGGAAAGCAGGGGAUCGUAAGACCUUGCGCUAUUCGAGCGGCCGACGUCUGAUUAGCUAGUUGGUGAGGUAAGAGCUCACCAAGGCGACGAUCAGUAGCGGGUCUGAGAGGAUGAUCCGCCACACUGGGACUGAGACACGGCCCAGACUCCUACGGGAGGCAGCAGUGGGGAAUUUUGGACAAUGGGCGCAAGCCUGAUCCAGCCAUGCCGCGUGUCUGAAGAAGGCCUUCGGGUUGUAAAGGACUUUUGUCAGGGAGGAAAUCCCUAAGGUUAAUACCCUUGGGGGAUGACAGUACCUGAAGAAUAAGCACCGGCUAACUACGUGCCAGCAGCCGCGGUAA
This 503-nucleotide ribosomal RNA is filed under the name uncultured bacterium. RNAcentral describes it as "bacterial SSU rRNA". It matches the Rfam family "Bacterial small subunit ribosomal RNA", at positions 25 to 523 of the family's 1533-position model. The record is from RNAcentral.